CUGGUAUUAUCCUCCCCAUUUCUUCACUUCGCGCUCUCAUCAGUGGCUCCCGCUGAGACUAAUAAAUACAACGGAAAUGUAAGAAACUUUUACACCUUUCUCAGAAGAUGAGCAGCUCCCCAUAGCAGCUGAUGAAUGAGAUACCGAAUUCCGGCCUGCAAGCAGCUGGUGCCAGGGCGGUGACCGAGACUCGGCCCCGGCUCCCGCAGCGGCUCAUCCCGCACCGAGGCCCGGCCCGCAGCAAUCUGUGACGCCGCACCGCCCGGCCGAGCGCACCCGGACAGCGCCUCUCCGGGCCACCUCCUUCCGCCUGCCCCCGGCCCUUCACUCCUCGGCCGGGGGCUGCGGCUGCCCAAGGUCACAGCGGGGCGUACUGCUGCGGCCCCGCCGCUCUCCCUCCGCGCAGCCCAGCCCCGCCGUCCUCCGAAGGCCGCACCCCCCGCUCCGCACGGCGCGCCCGGGCCCGGGGUCCCCUCCAAGGGCGCCCGCCGCCUCCCGUCGCUGUCGGAGAAGGACGCGAGGCGGUGCCCGAAGCGGGC
This is a long non-coding RNA of Numida meleagris (helmeted guineafowl), 539 nucleotides long. RefSeq lists it as uncharacterized. The record is from RefSeq and is a predicted model, not a curated record. Lineage: Eukaryota; Metazoa; Chordata; Aves; Galliformes; Numididae. The transcript has 3 exons.